AGCCUGCGAUCAAUAGCUGGUCUGAGAGGAUGAUCAGCCACACUGGGACUGAGACACGGCCCAGACUCCUACGGGAGGCAGCAGUGAGGAAUAUUGCGCAAUGGACGAAAGUCUGACGCAGCAACGCCGCGUGCGGGAUGAAGGCCCUUUGGGUCGUAAACCGCUGUAGAAGGGGAAAAAUAUGUGCCUCAGGCACAUUGAUGGUACCCUUAAAGUAAGCCUCGGCUAACUACGUGCCAGCAGCCGCGGUAAUACGUAGGAGGCGAGCGUUGUCCGGAUUUACUGGGUGUAAAGGGUCCGCAGGCGGAUUUUUAAGUCGGUGGUGAAAUCCUACAGCUUAACUGUAGAACUGCCUCCGAUACUGGAGAUCUUGAGUAUAGAAGAGGGUGGCGGAAUUCCAGGUGUAGCGGUGAAAUGCUUAGAUAUCUGGAAGAACACCGGUAGCGAAGGCUGCUGCCUGGUCUAUUACUGACGCUCAUGGACGAAAGCGCGGGUAGCAAACAGGAUUAGAUACCCUGGUAGUCCGCGCCGUAAACGAUGGAUACUCGGUGUUGGCCGCAAGGUCGGCGCCCAAGCUAACGCAUUAAGUAUCCCACCUGGGAAGUACGAUCGCAAGGUUGAAACUCAAAGGAAUUGACGGGGGCCCGCACAAGCAGUGGAGCAUGUGGUUUAAUUCGAUCCACGCGAAGAACCUACCUGGGCUCGAAAUACUAGAUUAUCCAUCGGUGAAAGUCGGUGGCGCUUCGGCAAUCUAGACAGGUGCUGCAUGGCUGUCGUCAGCUCGUGCCGUGAGGUGUUGGGUUAAGUCCCGCAACGAGCGCAACCCCUAUCCUUAGUUGCCAUCAGGUUAUGCUGGGGACUCUAAGGAGACUGCCUACGCAAGUAGUGAGGAAGGUGGGGAUGACGUCAAGUCCUCAUGGCCCUUACGCCCAGGGCUACACACGUGCUACAAUGGUAACUACAGAGGGCAGCGACACCGCGAGGUGGAGCAAAUCUCAAAAAAGUUAUCUCAGUCCGGAUCGGAGUCUGCAACUCGACUCCGUGAAGCUGGAAUUGCUAGUAAUCGCGUAUCAGCAUGACGCGGUGAAUACGUUCCCGGGCCUUGUACACACCGCCCGUCAAGCCAUGGAAGCUGGGGGCGCCCGACGUCGGUGAGCUAACCGUAAGGAAGCAGCCGCCUAAGGCGAAACCAGUGACUGGGGCUAAGUCGUAACAAGGUA
This 1220-nucleotide ribosomal RNA is filed under the name metagenome. Its description in RNAcentral is "bacterial SSU rRNA". It matches the Rfam family "Bacterial small subunit ribosomal RNA", at positions 271 to 1498 of the family's 1533-position model. The record is from RNAcentral.